RNAcentral lists this long non-coding RNA (940 nucleotides) under Piliocolobus tephrosceles (Ugandan red Colobus). RNAcentral's name for it is "lncRNA (ENSPTEG00000018735.1)". The record is from RNAcentral. Lineage: Eukaryota; Metazoa; Chordata; Mammalia; Primates; Cercopithecidae.
AUGUUUAGUAGCCAAUUUUUUACUCAAACUUUAACAGAUUCUUCAAGUACAGAAUCUGUAAGAGAAAUAAAGACAAAUAAAAAAUAUAUGUUUAUGGAAAUUAUUAAAAUGCUUUCAAUCAUGAUUUUAUUUUUUAUUUCUUCUUACUUUGCAUUAUGUUAUAUUUUUAACUAUUUUAUGGGUCAACAUAACAUAUGUGUUAAUCUGGAUUUAUACAAUUAUAAAUACGAAAAUAAUGUACAUUUUAUUCCUAGCAUUAGUAACAACAAGUAUUAUGUUUUUACAGGAAAAUUUCCAUUUGAUGUUAUAACACAUAAACUCAGAAAGGACAUUCUUAAAAAAAGUAUGAAUGAGGAAAUCGUUAAAUAUAACAAUGAAAAUCCAAAAAAUAGUAUUGAUCUAAUUUCUAAUUUAAACGAUGAUGUAAUACAGAUAAUUUCUUUUAAUAGAUCUGAUAAUCAACCGAAAUGUGAAAAAAAAAUUUUUGAUUUAUAUAAACCUUUUUAUUUAAAAACAGUUAGUGCUGAUGUUAAUAUAAAUAAUUUCAAUUUUCUGUUAAAUGAUAUUAACUACAAAUUUAUAACAAAUCCUUAUAACAUUCCUGAACAUAAAGUAAGCACACAACGACUUAUGCAGAAAUAUUAUUAUAUAUCGGAAAGUUAUGGAAAAUAAAAUGAACUCACCUGUGUGGAUGUUACGUGUGGAUAUUACAUAUGUAUGUUACGUAUGUAUGAACUAGUCAUAUAAAAAGCGAAUUUUAUGUUUGCUAGCCAUACAUACGCAUUUGCACAUAUAUAUGUAUACAUACCUAUAAACACAUUUUUUUUUUUUUUUUUUUUUUUUUUUUGCACAUUCUAGCUAUACGGAGAAGUAUCAAAAUUUAUGAACAUAAGCGAGAAAAAAAAAUAAAAUUUGUUACAUAACGUCUUAUUUAAAGUCU